GCUAUUUAGGUUAGAGUUUGAUCCUGGCUCAGAUUGAACGCUGGCGGCGUGCCUAACACAUGCAAGUCGAGCGGUAACAGGUGUAGCAAUACAUGCUGACGAGCGGCGAACGGGUGAGUAAUGCUUCGGAAUCUGCCCAAUGGUGGGGAAUAACUAGCCGAAAGGUUAGCUAAUACCGCAUGAGCCCUACGGGGGAAAGCAGGGGAUCGUAAGACCUUGCGCCGAUGGAUGAGCCGAAGCCGGAUUAGCUAGUUGGUAGGGUAACGGCCUACCAAGGCGACGAUCCGUAGCUGGUCUGAGAGGACGACCAGCCACACUGGGACUGAGACACGGCCCAGACUCCUACGGGAGGCAGCAGUGGGGAAUAUUGGACAAUGGGCGAAAGCCUGAUCCAGCAAUGCCGCGUGAGUGAUGAAGGCCUUAGGGUUGUAAAGCUCUUUUACCCGGGAUGAUAAUGACAGUACCGGGAGAAUAAGCUCCGGCUAACUCCGUGCCAGCAGCCGCGGUCGCCC
This 512-nucleotide ribosomal RNA is filed under the name uncultured bacterium. Its description in RNAcentral is "bacterial SSU rRNA". It matches the Rfam family "Bacterial small subunit ribosomal RNA", at positions 1 to 526 of the family's 1533-position model. The record is from RNAcentral.